GUGGUGGCUCAGUGGUAGAACGCUUGCCUAGCAUGCGUGAGGCCCUGGGUUCAAUUCUCAGCACCACA
Molecule: transfer RNA, 68 nt
Filed under: Ictidomys tridecemlineatus (thirteen-lined ground squirrel)
Lineage: Eukaryota; Metazoa; Chordata; Mammalia; Rodentia; Sciuridae
Description: Spermophilus tridecemlineatus (thirteen-lined ground squirrel) tRNA
Rfam family: tRNA
About the family: Transfer RNA (tRNA) molecules are approximately 80 nucleotides in length. Their secondary structure includes four short double-helical elements and three loops (D, anti-codon, and T loops). Further hydrogen bonds mediate the characteristic L-shaped molecular structure. tRNAs have two regions of fundamental functional importance: the anti-codon, which is responsible for specific mRNA codon recognition, and the 3' end, to which the tRNAs corresponding amino acid is attached (by aminoacyl-tRNA synthetases). tRNAs cope with the degeneracy of the genetic code in two manners: having more than one tRNA (with a specific anti-codon) for a particular amino acid; and 'wobble' base-pairing, i.e. permitting non-standard base-pairing at the 3rd anti-codon position.
Source: Rfam by way of RNAcentral